This 496-nucleotide ribosomal RNA is filed under the name uncultured bacterium. Its description in RNAcentral is "bacterial SSU rRNA". It matches the Rfam family "Bacterial small subunit ribosomal RNA", at positions 15 to 507 of the family's 1533-position model. The record is from RNAcentral.
GAUCAUGGCUACAGAGCGAACGUUUGCGGCGGGCCUAACACAUGCAAGUCGAACGCACUAGCAAUAGUGAGUGGCGCACGGGUGCGUAACACGUGGGUAAUCAACCCUUCAGCUUGGGAUAACGACUUGAAAGGGUCGCUAAUACCGGAUACGGCGCGGGAGGCUUCGGCUUCUCACGAGAAAGCCUCGCAAGGGGCACUGAAGGACGAGCCUGCGGCCCAUCAGCUAGUUGGUGAGGUAAGAGCUCACCAAGGCGAAGACGGGUAGCGGGUCUGAGAGGAUGAUCCGCCACACUGGGACUGAGACACGGCCCAGACUCCUACGGGAGGCAGCAGUGGGGAAUUUUGGACAAUGGGCGCAAGCCUGAUCCAGCCAUGCCGCGUGAGUGAAGAAGGCCUUCGGGUUGUAAAGCUCUUUCGGUUGGGGAAGAAAUUGCUUCGGUUAAUACCUGGAGUAGAUGACGGUACCCGCAUAAGAAGCACCGGCUAACUACGUG